UUUUAAAACGUAUAUAGUACAAUGUAUACGUAAAUAGUAUAUUCACAAAAUAGAAUAGUAUCUCUCAAAAAUCUUCCAAAAUCAAAAUCGAUUUAUUGGCUUUUUUCCCUUUAGAAUUUCCAACAUCGUAAACCCUUUAUCGCUUCUAGAUCUAAGAAAUCCAUAACAUGAUCGUCAAUUUGCUGUUCAUAAUUCUCAAUUUUAUUUUCCAUGGUUUUACAAAUUAAAAUUCUCAUAUGAACUUUGAUGGGAAAGUGAAGAUUAAUUUGACAUAAUUGGCGAAAGGAUUUCCCCGGAUUUUUCUAGUAUUCUCUGGCUGACGAAGGAUAAAUAUAGUCAGAGUAUUAUUGCGCUAAUGGUGUUGUUAUAAAAUAGAGUAAAUCAGAUUUGAGUGAUCCUAUCGACAUUUAAGAUUGAUCCAUAUAUAAUUUUGACUUUUGUUCAGUUGAUGGUGAUGUAUGUAAAGAUUCGUAAGAAAAGGGAGAGAGAGAUGAAAGGAGCACACUUCAUAAAAGAGAAGAAGAUUUAUUCACUAGGAUGUCUUUUGAAGAAGAAAGAAGAAGGAGAGCGAGAUGUACAAACACAGUAAGAAAAGGGAGAGAGAUAUGAAAUGAGCACACUUGAUAAAAGAGAAGAAGAUUUAUUCAAUAGGAUAUUUUUUGAAGAAGAAAGAAGAAGGAGAGCGUGAUGUACAAACAGAGUAUAGUAUUGUCAAUAUUACAUAUAUUAUACAUAAUAUCUCUUUCUAUUGUUUGAAGUGUUAGUUUACCAAUUAAAGUAUUUUUGUUGGUUAUAUUUGCCAAUUUUCCUUUUUUCAAUUCA
This 822-nucleotide small RNA is filed under the name Arabidopsis thaliana (thale cress). RNAcentral describes it as "ATSL058270". Lineage: Eukaryota; Viridiplantae; Streptophyta; Magnoliopsida; Brassicales; Brassicaceae. The record is from RNAcentral.